Molecule: ribosomal RNA, 460 nt
Filed under: uncultured bacterium
Lineage: Bacteria
Description: partial 16S ribosomal RNA
Rfam family: Bacterial small subunit ribosomal RNA
Source: RNAcentral
CCUACGGGUGGCAGCAGUGAGGAAUAUUGGUCAAUGGCCGGAAGGCUGAACCAGCCAAGCCGCGUGAGGGAAUAAGGCCCUAUGGGUCGUAAACCUCUUUUGUCAGGGAGCAAAGGCGUCCACGUGUGGACGAGUGGAGAGUACCUGAAGAAAAAGCAUCGGCUAACUCCGUCCCAGCAGCCGCGGUAAUACGGAGGUGGCCAGCGUUAUCCGGAGUUAUUGGGUUUAAAGGGUGCGUAGGCGGAGUGUCAAGUCAGCGGUAAAAUUUCGGGGCUCAACCCCGUCGUGCCGUUGAAACGGACGGCCUUGAGUGAGUGAGAAGUAAGCGGAAUGCGUGGUGUAGCGGUGAAAUGCAUAGAUAUGACGCAGAACGCCGAUUGCGAAGGCAGCUUACCGGCGCUCAACUGACGCUGAGGCACGAAAGUGCGGGUAUCGAACAGGAUUAGAUACCCUUGUAGUC